GGCAAACGGGUGCGGAACACGUACGCAACUUUCCCAAAACUGGUGAAUAGCCUUCCGAAAGGGAGAUUAAUACACCGUAAGAUAACUGAGUGGCAUCACUUGAUUAUUAUAGCUCCGGCGGUUUUGGAUGGGCGUGCGGCUGAUUAGGUAGUUGGCGGGGUAACGGCCCACCAAGCCUGCGAUCAGUAACUGGUGUGAGAGCACGACCAGUCACACGGGCACUGAGACACGGGCCCGACUCCUACGGGAGGCAGCAGUAAGGAAUAUUGGUCAAUGGACGCAAGUCUGAACCAGCCAUGCCGCGUGCAGGAUGAAGGCCCUCUGGGUUGUAAACUGCUUUUAUAGGGGACGAAAAAGGGACUUUCUAGUUCAACUGACGGUACCCUAGGAAUAAGCACCGGCUAACUCCGUGCCAGCAGCCGCGGUAAUACGGAGGGUGCAAGCGUUAUCCGGAUUUACUGGGUUUAAAGGGUGCGUAGGUGGGUCGGUAAGUCAGCGGUGAAAUCUUCGAGCUUAACUCGGAAACUGCCAUUGAUACUAUCGAUCUUGAAUCAUCUAGAGGUAAGCGGAAUAUGUCAUGUAGCGGUGAAAUGCUUAGAUAUGACAUAGAACACCAAUUGCGAAGGCAGCUUACUAUG
This 638-nucleotide ribosomal RNA is filed under the name uncultured bacterium. RNAcentral's name for it is "bacterial SSU rRNA". It matches the Rfam family "Bacterial small subunit ribosomal RNA", at positions 97 to 733 of the family's 1533-position model. The record is from RNAcentral.